CCAGGAUGCCCCAGGAUGUCCCUGCCGGUGGCGCUGGUGCUGCUCCUGGCCCUGGGCCCUGGGGGCCCCUCCGACGGCUGCCUGCACUGCGACCCCAACUUCUCCCUCCGCUUCGCCUCCUACGCCCCGCACCUCAGCCGCAAGGCCUGGGGCCUCGGGGUGGUGCCGGCCGCCGGGAGGAUGCUCCGCGGCUGGGCCCAGGACACCCUCCGCAGCCUCCAGCUCGGGGUCCCCGCCGAGAUCCCCAUGAUGGAGCUCCAGAUGAUCGCGACCAAGGUGUAUGCAAAGCUCGACACCCUGUUUCAAGGCAAGCUAUAUAAGCCAGGGGCUCUUCCGGAAGUCCUGCGUUCCAUUUUCGAGGAACAGGUCAAAAUGUUACGGAACGCCAUCCUUGAAAGCAGAGUGAAGUGUGAACGCCAUUGUGGAAUCAACCAGUACAAAGCCAUCAAUUGUGAGACCUGUAAUAAUACCAAACCCACUUGCUUUGGCUACAACUGCGAGUCCUCGGAAGCUUGGGAGACUGCAUUGAAGGGCCUCUAUAAAUAUAUAAACAACUUGAGCUCGGAGCCAGAAAAUUGGGCAGUGGGCUUAAAGCAGCUCCCCGGAUUUAGCCACUGUACAUCCACAAGCCCAGAUAACCUGAAUUUUACAAGUAUAGGCAAGACCCUCUCGCAAAACUGGCUCAACUUGAUGGCCCUGAAGGAUUUGGAAGAGCAGACGUCCUCCCUCCAGAUGCUGGCGCCCCGCUGCUGAAGCUUUUCCACCAACGGAAGGCCGUCCGGUCGGGAACUGGGACUCCCGGUGGAAAGCUUCGCCCGAAUGUCAGCCGAAACACGAUUUUGCCUGCCACUGCA
This is a long non-coding RNA of Anolis carolinensis (green anole), 854 nucleotides long. RefSeq annotates it as IZUMO family member 4. The transcript is spliced from 11 exons. The record is from RefSeq and is a predicted model, not a curated record. NCBI's taxonomy places the organism in Eukaryota, Metazoa, Chordata, Lepidosauria, Squamata, Anolidae.